GCAUGCGCGGGAAGUGGAGGGUUUUGGUGCGGGGCGCGACCCGUAGCCAGCGUUGGCGCAUGCGCGCGGUAGGUGGCCGGCUGUGCUGUGGGUCGGGGCCGCCGCCUCCAUGAAGUCCCGGUUCAGCACCGUCGAUAUCCGUGCGGUGCUCGCCGAGCUCCGGCAGAGCUUAUUGGGAAUGAGAGUAAACAAUGUUUAUGAUGUGGAUAAUAAGACGUAUCUUAUUCGCCUUCAAAAACCAGACUGCAAGGCCACGCUGCUGCUUGAGUCUGGUAUACGCAUUCACACGACGGAGUUUGAGUGGCCGAAGAACAUGAUGCCAUCUAGCUUUGCAAUGAAGUGCCGUAAGCAUUUAAAGACCAGAAGACUUGUCAGUGUCAACCAACUGGGUAUAGACAGAAUUGUGGACUUCCAGUUUGGAAGCGAUGAAGCUGCUUAUCACCUCAUCGUUGAGUUAUAUGACAGGGGUAACAUUGUCCUGACAGACCAUGAAUACAUCAUUUUAAACAUUCUGAGGUUUCGGACGGAUGAGGCAGAUGAUGUCAGAUUUGCAGUUCGGGAACGAUACCCAGUGGACAGUGCAAAAGCUCCUGCACCUCUGCCAACCUUGGAAAGGUUAACUGAAAUAAUAUCAAAUGCAUCUAAAGGGGAACAACUGAAGAGGGUUCUUAACCCGCAUCUUCCUUACGGAGCCACUCUCAUUGAGCAUUGCCUUGUAGAAACUGGAUUUUCUGGUUAUGUCAAAAUAGACCAGCAUAUGGAAAAUAAAGAAAAUGUUGAAAAAGUGCUUACUGCGUUAGAGAAAGCAGAAGAAUAUAUGACACUAACUGGCAACUUCAGUGGAAAGGGUUACAUUAUCCAGAAAAGGGAGAAAAAGCCAAGUCUGGAACCAGAUAAACCAGCAGAAGAUAUCUACACAUAUGAGGAAUUUCAUCCUUUCUUGUUUUCUCAACAUUCAAAAUGUCCGUACUUGGAAUUUGACUCAUUCAAUAAGGCAGCAGAUGAGUUCUACUCCAAGCUAGAAGGACAGAAAAUUGAUCUGAAAGCAUUGCAGCAGGAAAAGCAAGCAUUGAAAAAACUUGAAAAUGUCCGUAGGGAUCAUGAGCACAGACUAGAAGCUCUUCAGCAGGCUCAGGAAGCUGAUAAGAUGAAAGGAGAACUUAUAGAAAUGAACUUGGAGAUUGUUGACCGAGCCAUCCAGGUGGUCCGUAGUGCAUUAGCCAACCAGAUAGACUGGACGGAGAUCGGAGCAAUUGUUAAAGAAGCUCAAGCCCAGGGAGACCCCGUUGCAAGUGCAAUCAAAGAGUUAAAGCUUCAGACGAAUCAUAUCACGAUGCUGCUGAGGAACCCAUACGUAUUAUCUGAAGAAGAAGAGGAGGAGGAGGAUGCUGAUUUAGAGAAAGAAGAAACAGAAGAACCAAAGGGAAAAAAGAAAAAGAAUAAAAACAAACAGUUGAAGAAACCUCAGAAAAACAAACCCUUGUUAGUCGAUGUUGAUCUCAGUUUGUCUGCAUAUGCCAAUGCCAAAAAGUACUAUGACCACAAAAGACAUGCAGCUAAGAAAACUCAGAAGACAGUAGAAGCUGCAGAAAAGGCAUUUAAAUCGGCUGAGAAGAAGACGAAGCAGACCCUGAGGGAAGUUCAGACAGUUACCACCAUUCAGAAAGCAAGGAAGGUCUAUUGGUUUGAGAAGUUCCUGUGGUUCAUUAGUUCUGAGAAUUACCUCGUCAUUGCUGGAAGAGAUCAACAGCAGAAUGAGCUGAUUGUAAAGCGGUAUCUUAAACCAGGGGACAUAUAUGUGCAUGCUGAUCUCCAUGGAGCCACGAGCUGUGUGAUCAAGAACCCAUCAGGUGAACCGAUCCCUCCACGAACCCUGAUGGAGGCAGGCACGAUGGCCUUGUGUUACAGUGCUGCCUGGGAUGCCCGCGUUGUCACCAGUGCCUGGUGGGUGUCCCACAACCAGGUUUCUAAAACCGCACCUACAGGAGAAUACCUCACUACUGGAAGCUUCAUGAUCCGAGGGAAAAAGAAUUUUCUUCCACCUUCAUAUCUGAUGAUGGGCUUUAGUUUCUUGUUCAAGGUGGAUGAAAGCUGUGUUUGGAGACACCGGGAAGAAAGGAAGAUCAAAGUGCAGGAUGAGGAUCUGGAAACGGUUUCCAGCAGUGCCAGUGAACUGGUGUCAGAAGAUGUGGAGCUAUUAGAUGGAGGAGACAGCAGCAACGAAGAGGAAAAAGCAGAGUGUCAGGAAGCACUGGAGGAUGUGGAAGCUGUGUCUGAGGGUAAUUGUGAGGAGGGCAUUGCUGACCUGGACCAGGGAAGAGUAGACACACCUCCUGCACCGGAGGGUGACUCUGAAGAGGAUGAAGGAGAAUCUGAAGAUGAAGUGGAACAUCCAGAGUCAAAGAGUGAAGUGAAGGAGGAAGAGGUAAAUUAUCCAGAUACAACAAUAGACCUGUCGCAUCUUCAGUCUCAAAGAUCCCUGCAGACAAUCAUCCCCAAACAGGAAGAACCCAGUUUGGGUGACAGCAAGUCCCAGGGCCGAAGGCAUCUGUCUGCCAAGGAGCGGAGAGAAAUGAAGAAAAAGAAGCAGCAAAACAACACUGAGAACUUGGAGCCACCUGAAGAGAAGCAGAAAGAGAUGGAAACACAGCCUGUCCCUAUUCCCAACACCAAUAAGGGUGUGCCAGCCCCUCAGCCUGUCAAGCGGGGCCAGAAGAGUAAAAUGAAGAAGAUGAAGGAGAAGUACAAGGACCAGGACGAGGAGGACCGGGAGCUCAUCAUGAAACUGCUGGGGUCUGCAGGGUCAAACAAGGAGGAGAAGGGGAAAAAAGGGAAGAAGGGGAAGACAAAAGAAGAGCCAGCAAAGAAGCAACAGCAAAACCCCAAAGCCGUGCGUCAUGGUGCUAGAGGGGGCAAGGAGUCACUCCCAGCAGGAGUUGUGCUGCACGAGUCACAGGACCCAGCCCUGGAGGAGCAGCAGGAUGAGAAGGAGGAGCAAGACCAGGAUCAGCCGGGAGUUGAGGGGGAAGCUUUUGGUGACACUGUGAAGAUGUAAUGACACUUGGAGGUCCCAUUUGGAUCAUUUAAAACCGAGAUCCAUCCUAUUUCAAAUGAUGCAACUUUAGUAAUCAGAGAUGGUCAGUAAUAACUCGUGGCUUGGUAACUCAAGGCCAGUGAAGUGAGUGAUAAAUAGUACACGUCAGUAAUGCUGUUGUGAGGUCUGACACGUGGUACCUGUAGGAGGGUGGCUGCUGCUGUGGUUCAGCUGGGAGGGGAGACCCUCCAGCCUCUGCCCACUGUGAUUAUGGGAGUGAGGGGCUGGAGAGGCGCUGUCUGGUCUCACAGUGAAGCUCCUCUGCCCGCGCAGGAGGGUGAGGCGCUGCUGGACUCCCUCACUGGCCAGCCGCACCCUGAGGAUAUCCUGCUCUUCGCCGUUCCCAUCUGCGCUCCCUACACGGCGAUGACGAACUACAAGUACAAAGUCAAGCUCACUCCAGGCACCCAAAAGAAGGGAAAAGCUGCAAAGAUUGCCUUGCAUAAUUUUAUGCAAUCCAAAGAAGCUAGUGCAAGAGAAAAAGACCUGUUCCGCAGCGUAAAGGUGGCAAGUUUUUCUGCAUGGUUUCUCUAUACAAAUAUAACAGCAGCAGCAAAAUGUCAACUAGUGCCAUUUUGGGGGAUACUGAUUUGUCAAGGAAUAUUCCUGGUAAAGUGAAAGUGUCUGCACCUCAUCUCCUGAACAAGAAGAAGAAGUGAUUCCAUACUUGGGUUUCUCACUACUGAACUGCCACUGCUGUGCAGUCAGAAUCCAGCACCUGCAGCUGGGACAGACGGACACAGACCUACUCCGACUGCCAUUAACUGGACUGAGUUUAGCUCCCGUGGUGUAGCGGGCAGAUGAGGACCAGUUCCUGCAUCGCGGCGGAUGGACUCUCGAUACAAAUAGCAUAAAAACAUGCGAAUAAAUUGCUGGUGUUUGGUCAGUGA
Strigops habroptila (Kakapo) is the source of this 3984-nucleotide RNA transcript. It is a transcript of the gene named nuclear export mediator factor, with no coding region annotated. Lineage: Eukaryota; Metazoa; Chordata; Aves; Psittaciformes; Psittacidae. The transcript is spliced from 33 exons. The record is from RefSeq and is a predicted model, not a curated record.